RNAcentral lists this ribosomal RNA (390 nucleotides) under Triticum aestivum (bread wheat). RNAcentral describes it as "partial small subunit ribosomal RNA". The record is from RNAcentral. Lineage: Eukaryota; Viridiplantae; Streptophyta; Magnoliopsida; Poales; Poaceae.
CGUCGGGGUUGGCCAAAUUGCGCCCUUUGCCCCAUUUGCAAGCAAAGCCAAGAAUCGACAACUGACCUUCUUUAUCAAUGCCGCUUCAGUAUGUGCAUUUGGAAUGUCAUCCUUCCUUGGCUAGGCAUGCAUGACAUCCUUCCAGCGACUUGGGUCGUGAUAGCUUCGGUAAGGGAUUGGUGGAAUGGUAACCUCCUGUUUCAACGUGGAUCCCCCAAAGCGCUUGCCUCCUUGAUGAUGCUUAUUUCAUGAGAGAUUUGGUCGGAGCACAAUGCUAGGGUAUUUCCUAACACCGCCGCCCCUUCGAUGAUCAUUAUUGCCAUGAUCAAAGAGGAGAUCUCCCUUUGGGCUUUGACCGGUGCCAAGCAUAUGAGUGUUGUAAUUCCAUGA